This 295-nucleotide ribosomal RNA is filed under the name uncultured soil bacterium. RNAcentral's name for it is "partial 16S ribosomal RNA". It matches the Rfam family "Bacterial small subunit ribosomal RNA", at positions 26 to 316 of the family's 1533-position model. The record is from RNAcentral.
AGGACGAACGCUGGCGGCGUGCCUAACACAUGCAAGUCGAACGGGACCAGGGGCAACUCUGGUUCAGUGGCGGACGGGUGCGUAACACGUGAGGAACAUGACCUUCGGCGGGGGAUAGCCGGCCCAACGGCCGGGUAAUACCGCGUACGACCAUCCGGGGACAUCCCUGGGUGGUGAAAGCAGUCAAUGCGCCGAUGGAGUGCCUCGCGGCCUAUCAGCUAGUUGGUGAGGUAACGGCUCGACCGAAGGCGACGACGGGUACGCCGGUCUGAGAGGAGUCGGCCAGCCACGAGUU